RNAcentral lists this transfer RNA (73 nucleotides) under Bos taurus (domestic cattle). It matches the Rfam family "tRNA". Rfam says of the family: Transfer RNA (tRNA) molecules are approximately 80 nucleotides in length. Their secondary structure includes four short double-helical elements and three loops (D, anti-codon, and T loops). The record is from Rfam by way of RNAcentral. RNAcentral also lists the same sequence under 1 other name. Lineage: Eukaryota; Metazoa; Chordata; Mammalia; Artiodactyla; Bovidae.
UUGCUGGCAGUCCAGUGGCUGAGACUCUGCACUUCCAACGCAGGAGGCUCAGGUUCGAUUCCUGAUCAGGGAA